AGCUAGGUCCCACGCAAGAGCAGGUCGCGAACCCCGCCAGGCCCGGAAGGGAGCAACGGUACCGAUUCUUCUCUGUGCCGUGGGGGUGCCUAGCUAUC
This 98-nucleotide signal recognition particle RNA is filed under the name Binatia bacterium. Its description in RNAcentral is "signal recognition particle sRNA small type". It matches the Rfam family "Bacterial small signal recognition particle RNA". From Rfam's summary of the family: The signal recognition particle (SRP) is a universally conserved ribonucleoprotein involved in the co-translational targeting of proteins to membranes. Archaeal SRP consists of a 7S RNA and homologues of the eukaryotic SRP19 and SRP54 proteins. In most bacteria, the SRP consists of a 4.5S RNA and the Ffh protein (a homologue of the eukaryotic SRP54 protein). The record is from RNAcentral. Lineage: Bacteria; Candidatus Binatota; Binatia (SeqCode).